UACGUAGGGGGCAAGCGUUGUCCGGAAUCAUUGGGCGUAAAGAGCGUGUAGGCGGCCCGGUAAGUCCGCUGUGAAAGUCCAGGGCUCAACCCUGGGAUGCCGGUGGAUACUGUCGGGCUCGAGUCCGGAAGAGGAGUGUGGAAUUCCUGGUGUAGCGGUGAAAUGCGCAGAUAUCAGGAGGAACACCGAUGGCGAAGGCAGGUCUCUGGGCCGAUACUGACGCUGAGGAGCGAAAGCGUGGGGAGCGAACAGG
Molecule: ribosomal RNA, 253 nt
Filed under: uncultured bacterium
Lineage: Bacteria
Description: partial 16S ribosomal RNA
Rfam family: Bacterial small subunit ribosomal RNA
Source: RNAcentral